Molecule: unclassified non-coding RNA, 301 nt
Filed under: Glomus sp.
Lineage: Eukaryota; Fungi; Glomeromycota; Glomeromycetes; Glomerales; Glomeraceae
Description: partial contains 5.8S ribosomal RNA, internal transcribed spacer 2, and large subunit ribosomal RNA
Rfam family: 5.8S ribosomal RNA (bases 1-71)
Source: RNAcentral
GUGAAUCAUCGAAUCUUUGAACGCACAUUGCACUCUCUGGUAUUCCGGAGAGUAUGCCUGUUUGAGGGUCAGUUUAAAUGAAAAUCGGUGUGGUUGCUGCCUUUCGUGGUGACGCACCGGAUUUUGGUCGUCUUGACUUCGGUUGAGUGACCUAAAAUUUUGCUUGGUUUUUUCGAACGUAUUUAAAUGGUUUUACGUACGUUUGCGAUAUAGAAUAAUAGGUGUGGUCAUUCUCAUGAUUCGCGCCUAUAAUUAUUCAUCAAACUGACCUCAAAUCAGGUAAGAGUACCCGCUUAACUUA